RNAcentral lists this ribosomal RNA (332 nucleotides) under uncultured bacterium. RNAcentral's name for it is "bacterial SSU rRNA". It matches the Rfam family "Bacterial small subunit ribosomal RNA", at positions 568 to 898 of the family's 1533-position model. The record is from RNAcentral.
CGUGUAGGCGGUCGGUCAAGUCCGAUGUGAAAGCCCGGGGCUCAGCCUCGGAAGUGCAUCGGAAACUAGCCGGCUGGAGCGCGAUAGAGGAGGGUAGAAUUCCUGGUGUAGCGGUGAAAUGCGUAGAUAUCAGGAGGAAUACCGGCGGCGAAGGCGGCCCUCUGGAUCGUUGCUGACGCUGAGACGCGAAAGCGUGGGGAGCAAACAGGAUUAGAUACCCUGGUAGUCCACGCGGUAAACGAUGGGUACUAGGUGUUCGGGGUAUUGACCCCCUGAGUGCCGCAGCUAACGCAUUAAGUACCCCGCCUGGGGACUACGGCCGCAAGGUUAAA